Schistosoma haematobium is the source of this 78-nucleotide non-coding RNA. The record is from Rfam. NCBI's taxonomy places the organism in Eukaryota, Metazoa, Platyhelminthes, Trematoda, Strigeidida, Schistosomatidae.
AGCUUUUCAAAUCCAUGCAGAGAUUUCGUCGGACACCAACCCAUUAGGUCUGAUCAUACUCUCAAGGUAGAUGAAGUU